Molecule: unclassified non-coding RNA, 300 nt
Filed under: Pluteus romellii
Lineage: Eukaryota; Fungi; Basidiomycota; Agaricomycetes; Agaricales; Pluteaceae
Description: sequence contains 5.8S rRNA gene
Rfam family: 5.8S ribosomal RNA (bases 1-53)
Source: RNAcentral
GAACGCACCUUGCGCUCCUUGGUAUUCCGAGGAGCAUGCCUGUUUGAGUGUCAUUGAAUCCUCAACCCCAUCUUCCUAGUGAACGAAUGGUGUUGGAUGUGGAAGCUGCUGGCGUUGUCAGCUCUUCUCAAAUGAAUUAGCAGGGCCCACGUACAAGCCUCUCCAGCUUGGUAUUGAUAGAUGUCUUACCAGGUCGUAUUGCUGCAUGUGCAGGGUGCUCAGCUCCUAGCCGUCUCUAGUUGAGACAAGUGACUUGACGAUUUGACCUCAAAUCAGGUAGGACUACCCGCUGAACUUAAG